CGACAUUGUGUUGUUUUGUGCGGUAAAGCGAAUGAUUAGCGCACUCGGGGGCAGUUAGCCUUCGGGCGAUUCUCAAACUUUCAAUGCGCAAGAGGUGCCGCUGCUUUGUUGAGCGGCACCGGCAAAAACGUCGGCCCUGUGGGCCACUUUUGGUAAGCAGAACUGGCGAUACGGGAUGAACCGUAAGCGCGGUUAAGGCGCCGGACUGCCCGCUUAUAGAUCCCACAAAAGGUGUUGGUUCAUCGAGACAGCAGGACGGUGGCCAUGGAAGUCGGAAUCCGCCAAGGAGUGUGUAACAACUCACCUGCCGAAUGAACUAGCCCUGAAAAUGGAUGGCGCUUAAGCGGGCGGCCGACACCGCGCCGUCUGGUAAAGAAUUACGAUCAGAUGAGUAGGAGGGCGUGGCGGCUGUGUCGAAGCGUGCGUGCAGACGCGCGUGGAACAGCCGCUAGUGCAGAUCUUGGUGGUAGUAGCAAGUAUUCAAGCGAGAUCCUUGAAGGGCGAAGCGGGGAAGGGUUCCACGCGAACAGUGCUUGGGCGUGGGUGAGUCGUUCCUAAGCCGAGUGGCAAUUGCUAAGUAGCGGCGAAAGGGAAGCGGGUUGACAUUCCCGCACACGGAUGUGAGCGGUGACGCGUAUUGGGGCGAACACGCUGGCGAUGGCGCUGGGCAGAGUUGUCUUUUCUGUUUGACCUACCAGCACGCGGUGUGGAAUCCGCUUGUCGGGAGAAACACGCGUGUCGGGGCAGAGCGCCGGGGCUUUUCCGGCGUCCAGCUCGCCAUCGACGGCCCUUGAAACUUUGCCUGCUGAUUUAAGAUCCACGCCGUGGCGUACCGAUCACCGCAUCAGGUCCCCAAGGUGAACAGCCUCUGCUCAAUAUGAACAAUGCAGGUAAGGGAAGUCGGCAAAUUAGACCCGUAACUUUGGGAUAAGGGUUGGCUCUAGUGCUGCGUGGGAGUGGUUG
RNAcentral lists this ribosomal RNA (963 nucleotides) under Weeksia sp. RNAcentral's name for it is "LSU rRNA". It matches the Rfam family "Eukaryotic large subunit ribosomal RNA", at positions 987 to 1976 of the family's 3401-position model. Lineage: Eukaryota; Rhodophyta; Florideophyceae; Gigartinales; Dumontiaceae. The record is from RNAcentral.